AUAUCAAUAAGCGGAGGAAAAGAAACCAACAGGGAUUGCCUCAGUAACGGCGAGUGAAGCGGCAAAAGCUCAAAUUUGAAAUCUGGUACCUUUGGUGCCCGAGUUGUAAUUUGAAGAUAGUUUUCUGGUGCUGGCCCUUGUCUAUGUUCCUUGGAACAGGACGUCACAGAGGGUGAGAAUCCCGUCUGGCGGGGUGUCCAGUGCUUUGUAGAUUUCUAUCGACGAGUCGAGUUGUUUGGGAAUGCAGCUCUAAGUGGGUGGUAAAUUCCAUCUAAAGCUAAAUAUUGGCGAGAGACCGAUAGCGAACAAGUACAGUGAUGGAAAGAUGAAAAGAACUUUGAAAAGAGAGUGAAAAAGUAC
This 360-nucleotide ribosomal RNA is filed under the name uncultured fungus. Its description in RNAcentral is "eukaryotic LSU rRNA". It matches the Rfam family "Eukaryotic large subunit ribosomal RNA", at positions 40 to 398 of the family's 3401-position model. Lineage: Eukaryota; Fungi. The record is from RNAcentral.